This 584-nucleotide ribosomal RNA is filed under the name uncultured bacterium. RNAcentral's name for it is "partial 16S ribosomal RNA". It matches the Rfam family "Bacterial small subunit ribosomal RNA", at positions 355 to 1374 of the family's 1533-position model. The record is from RNAcentral.
UGGGGAAUUUUGGACAAUGGGCGAAAGCCUGAUCCAGCAAUGCCGCGUGUGUGAAGAAGGCCUUCGGGUUGUAAAGCACUUUUGUCCGGAAAGAAAUCCUUGGCUCUAAUACAGUCGGGGGAUGACGGUACCGGAAGAAUAAGCACCGGCUAACUACGUGCCAGCAGCCGCGGUAAUACGUAGGGUGCAAGCGUUAAUCGGAAUUACUGGGCGUAAAGCGUGCGCAGGCGGUUUGCUAAGACCGAUGUGAAAUCCCCGGGCUCAACCUGGGAACUGCAUUGGUGACUGGCAGGCUAGAGUAUGGCAGAGGGGGGUAGAAUUCCACGUGUAGCAGUGAAAUGCGUAGAGAUGUGGAGGAAUACCGAUGGCGAAGGCAGCCCCCUGGGCCAAUACUGACGCUCAUGCACGAAAGCGUGGGGAGCAAACAGGAUUAGAUACCCUGGUAGUCCACGCCCUAAACGAUGUCAACUAGUUGUUGGGGAUUCAUUUCCUUAGUAACGUAGCUAACGCGUGAAGUUGACCGCCUGGGGAGUACGGUCGCAAGAUUAAAACUUAAAGGAAUUGACGGGGUCAUAGCUUUUUCC